AGGGCGUUCUUCUCAUUUCUGUAGUCCUCAUGUACACAAUGAGCUCAAGACUCAUCAUGGAAGGUCAAAUCUUGCCACAGGGUGGAGCUCCAGACUUAAAUCACAGUGUUUCAGUGAGAAAAGACACAUCUGAGUUUGUCAUUUCAUUCCAUCAUGCUGCUCUGUGCACUUGGAAUAUUUGCAGUACUUGCAGGAGACUCUCUUGGUGAUGUAAUAACAUCUCAUGGUUCUGAAAAAGAAGCUCAAGAUGGUAACAGUGUUUCUCUCUCCUGCAACUACAGUGGUUCUGUUAUCAAUCUACUGUGGUAUCGUCAGUAUCAGAGAUCCAAACCAGAACUCCUUCUCUCCAUCACUGAAUCUGGAGAUCCAGUUAAAGCAGAUCCAUCAGCCCACUGGUUUUCUCCUAAAGUUGACAAACUCAAAAAGCUCUUGAAACUGGAAAUCAGCCCUGCUAAAGUAUCAGACUCUGCUGUGUAUUACUGUGCUCUGAAGCCCACAGUGACAGGAAACACAAAAACACAGUACAAAAACAAUGUUUUGAUUAUUCAAUAAUCUAUAUAUAUAAAGUACUUGUACUGAGUACUUGUACUGUUUCUCCUGUGGUAUGAUGUGCCAAACUCCAUCUGAAAGUAUUAUAACAACAUUUUCUAAUAUUUAUUCCCCUGGUUUCACAGACAAGGCUUAAGCUAGUCCUAGACUAAAAUGCAUGUUUGAGCUGUUCUAACUGAAAGUAACUCGUACUGACAGAUCUUAAAAUA
Non-coding RNA from Megalobrama amblycephala (Wuchang bream), 758 nucleotides. The record is from the annotation of a RefSeq genome assembly. NCBI's taxonomy places the organism in Eukaryota, Metazoa, Chordata, Actinopteri, Cypriniformes, Xenocyprididae.